RNAcentral lists this ribosomal RNA (630 nucleotides) under Shigella flexneri. RNAcentral's name for it is "bacterial SSU rRNA". It matches the Rfam family "Bacterial small subunit ribosomal RNA", at positions 894 to 1524 of the family's 1533-position model. The record is from RNAcentral. Lineage: Bacteria; Pseudomonadati; Pseudomonadota; Gammaproteobacteria; Enterobacterales; Enterobacteriaceae.
UUAAAACUCAAAUGAAUUGACGGGGGCCCGCACAAGCGGUGGAGCAUGUGGUUUAAUUCGAUGCAACGCGAAGAACCUUACCUGGUCUUGACAUCCACGGAAGUUUUCAGAGAUGAGAAUGUGCCUUCGGGAACCGUGAGACAGGUGCUGCAUGGCUGUCGUCAGCUCGUGUUGUGAAAUGUUGGGUUAAGUCCCGCAACGAGCGCAACCCUUAUCCUUUGUUGCCAGCGGUCCGGCCGGGAACUCAAAGGAGACUGCCAGUGAUAAACUGGAGGAAGGUGGGGAUGACGUCAAGUCAUCAUGGCCCUUACGACCAGGGCUACACACGUGCUACAAUGGCGCAUACAAAGAGAAGCGACCUCGCGAGAGCAAGCGGACCUCAUAAAGUGCGUCGUAGUCCGGAUUGGAGUCUGCAACUCGACUCCAUGAAGUCGGAAUCGCUAGUAAUCGUGGAUCAGAAUGCCACGGUGAAUACGUUCCCGGGCCUUGUACACACCGCCCGUCACACCAUGGGAGUGGGUUGCAAAAGAAGUAGGUAGCUUAACCUUCGGGAGGGCGCUUACCACUUUGUGAUUCAUGACUGGGGUGAAGUCGUAACAAGGUAACCGUAGGGGAACCUGCGGUUGGAUC